GGCGGCGUAGCUCAGUUGGUUAGAGCGAGCGGCUCAUACCCGCUAUGUCAUCCGUUCGAUCCGGAUCGCCGCCACCA
Molecule: transfer RNA, 77 nt
Filed under: Candidatus Omnitrophota bacterium
Lineage: Bacteria; Pseudomonadati; Candidatus Omnitrophota
Description: tRNA-Met
Source: RNAcentral